ACCUUCAUUCUGGUAGACUAUCUGAUCGAUGACGAUAGGAUGCUAAGAAUGUGUUUCAAAUGACUUUCGAACACCUCUUCGUAGUAUAGAGGAUUGAUGAAUUUAUGCUACGAAGUUGUAUUUUAGAGAUGAAUUAUGUUUUGUGCGUACCUAGUGAACACUAUGCCGCCUGGGGCGAGGAUCUGGUGUUGGCAUUGAGGCCGGGAGAAAUAAUCCCUAGCGAAAGGCUGAGGGACACGGAGACAGGCAUUGGGCCGGGAGGGAGAUAUCUCUGGCUACGGGCACAGAGACUGAGGUGCAGGCAUUGGGCCGGGAGUAUUAUUAUUCAGUGCACUCACUAGCAGCACAAUUUGUGUUAUGCUUCCUGAUACGAUUUCUGAUAUGAUUUUCUGAGAUUGAUUUGCAGAUAGAUAUAUGAAUUGUUUUAUGGCAUGCUAGAGUUUUCAGAAAAGCUAUCACUUAUUAUGCUAGUAGUUUUCAUUAUAUAAACUGUGGGGGUUAGUAUGUUCAUAACUGUUUUUGUACUAUGUAUAUAUACAAGAUUGGUCCAAGGCAUACAAUCCCGGCAUCAAGGUACUUUCACAGCGGCAUCUCCGAGUCCUCUCGGGUACUCAGUUUUUGGUUCAAUAUUAACAAUCGGCGGAGUGAUUGGUGAAUUGGUAAAUGUAAGAACAGCGGAUCUCAUUGGUCUUAAGAGACAAUGUGGCUGUCCGAAACAUUCAGUACUGCAGGGUGGCUGCGUAUAGCAUUUGCACAGGUUUCUUCUCUUUCCUGUCUCCAUAUACAUAUGAUGAAUGCAACGUAUUGUUUUCUAUUUCUCUCUUUUUUCCUGCCUGCCUUUUGUUUUCUUCCCUUAUUGGGUUUCAAUCAGUAGUUGAGUUCAAUGCUUGAUGGUAGAAUGCUUGGUGGCUGGAUUUUGGACGACUGUUUUUGGGAUUUGGCAUUGGGUUAAGUAUGUACGUGGUUAAUGCAAACUCCGUCUCGUUCUUCUUCAAAUUUAAAUCAGUUUCUAACAUAUCCAUAUAAAACAUAUAUAAAAUGAUCAAGUUCUCUCCCAUUAACAGGUAGAAUCAAUUACGGUACACUAGUUUGCAGGCUAAAAUUGAUAAAUAAAAGGACCUUUACGCUGCUCUGCAACGUCUUAGAGGAAAAAUUCUUAUAUAUCUCAAGAAGCAGCUGAUAUCAUGGUAACUUUCCAAAUUCGAACUUCAUAUUAUCGUUUAAAGGUUAUUUGUUUGGUAUCCUGAACUUGAGGAAUUAUUUUGGAGAUAAAUUAUGUUCUUUAGCUUUUAAAAAGAAUAAGACAUAAUAUUAUAUCGUGGCGGGAUUAUACUAUGAUCUUUCAGCAGCAGUCAGAAAGAAUGCUGGACUUGUUUCAGCGAAGAUACGCUCACUCACUGAUUGUAAGCUUUUUCAAAGGUAAUACGAUUGAACAAGUCAUUUACUGCAUUACCUUUUCUUUUCAUGAGGUGUCUUACCUUUCUACGGAUAUUUUAACUGGAUUAGGUUGGAGCUGGAUUGAUGGUACUGUAAGAAUAAACUCUAACAGUUCAUCAAUCUAAAGAACAUGGAUACAACCAAUUAAAUCACAACUCCACUUAACCAAUAGAUGAACAAAAACAUGAGAAAAGCUCGAGAACUUACCUGCAGAAUUGGAACCAGAUGAAGAAGCCAUUGCGACUUCACAGCUUACUGCCUUCUCCUCUUUUACAAAUCUCAAUGGUUCUUCCAGACAAUAGGACUUGGAACUCUAUAUAACCGUAUAUUGCAAGAGCAGUGGCAUAAGCUUUUAUAGCACUCCUAUUGUCAUUCCCUAUCAGAAUAGACUUAGGAUUCAAACAUCACAAUUGAUACAACAUAUCAAUCCCAAACAUGUUCUAUUACCGAGUUCUAAUCCCACAAGGAUUAUUCAGAAUCUCACAAAACUUAUUCCACAAGGAAACCAAAUAAGUUAAGGCUUUUGACCAAGACUUUUCCAUAUCAAUCUUAAACACAAGAACUGAUUCCUUCCAUAAUUCAUACUCAUAAACUUACAGGUACUACAACAAUUUGGGGGGUCCAGUGCAGCAACAUUUUAUGGAAAUCAUAUUUUCUGCUAUACAGCAUUUGAUGCUGGAUCGAAAGCUUUUAUUUUGCUGUAUAGCAGAAAAUAUGAUUUCGUAUCCAUUUUCUGGCAGAUUGAUGACAUUGAGGUUUCACCAUAAAAUCAAUGGCAAUAUGGGGACUAGUCCAAGAUCAUAUAAGCACAUAGCAAACCUUGUCCCUCACUGAUGUGGGACAACUCUCAACAUGCCACCGCACGUAUGACGAAUU
Non-coding RNA from Malus domestica (apple), 2313 nucleotides. Lineage: Eukaryota; Viridiplantae; Streptophyta; Magnoliopsida; Rosales; Rosaceae. The record is from RefSeq and is a predicted model, not a curated record.